Molecule: non-coding RNA, 482 nt
Organism: Paramuricea clavata
Lineage: Eukaryota; Metazoa; Cnidaria; Anthozoa; Malacalcyonacea; Plexauridae
Source: the annotation of a GenBank genome assembly
CAUAGGUCUACACUGGUUUAAAUACAAUUAUAACGCAUGUGAUUAAUACGAAAAUAUAUCCUGAUGACGUAAUGGGUGGAGCUCUAGUGCUCCACCCGCUCCACCCGGUCCAGAACUCCUCUUCCCUAUACUACUUAGACGUCCCCGUCUAUAAGCCCAUUAUUGUUAUAUUCAGGGGAGGGGGCUUAUAAUCAGAGGUUUAUGGUAUUCAUAUACUGCAGUUAUAUUUAUGCACCUUUAAAUGGUAAGCCCCAGGGGGGGGUCUGGCAUAUGUGGGGUAUUUGAUCGAUUUUUGUUUCCCCACCCUCUGGAAUUUGAUCGACACCAUCUCCCGAGGAUGGGGAUAUUUGAAUUGAGAGCCAUCUUGCAUCCUAUAAAGGAAGACCACAUGUUGAGCACUGGGACAAAUGACUUUCAUGCCUUUCACCACAGAUAUGUGUGCCCUGCAACAGUGGGGUAUUUGAUCACAUAUUUGCUUCCCC